CCUACGGGAGGCAGCAGUGGGGAAUAUUGCACAAUGGGGGAAACCCUGAUGCAGCGACGCCGCGUGAGUGAAGAAGUAAUUCGUUACGUAAAGCUCUAUCAGCAGGGAAGAAAAUGACGGUACCUGAGUAAGAAGCACCGGCUAACUACGUGCCAGCAGCCGCGGUAAUACGGAGGGGGCACGGGUUAUCCGGAUUUACGGGGUGUAAAGGGAGCGGAGACGGUUCGCCAAGUCGGGAGUGAAAUGCCGCGGCUUAACUGCGGAACUGCUUUGGAAACUGGCGAACUAGAGUUCGGGAGGGGUGAGGGGAAUUCCUGGUGUAGCGGUGAAAUGCGUAGAUAUUAGGAGGAACACCGGUGGCGAAGGCGGCUUACUGGACAAUAACUGACGUUGAGGCUCGAAAGCGUGGGGAGCAAACAGGAUUAGAUACCCGGGUAGUC
This 440-nucleotide ribosomal RNA is filed under the name uncultured bacterium. Its description in RNAcentral is "partial 16S ribosomal RNA". It matches the Rfam family "Bacterial small subunit ribosomal RNA", at positions 338 to 795 of the family's 1533-position model. The record is from RNAcentral.